RNAcentral lists this ribosomal RNA (425 nucleotides) under uncultured bacterium. RNAcentral describes it as "bacterial SSU rRNA". It matches the Rfam family "Bacterial small subunit ribosomal RNA", at positions 354 to 796 of the family's 1533-position model. The record is from RNAcentral.
GUGAGGAAUUUUCCGCAAUGGGCGAAAGCCUGACGGAGCAAUGCCGCGUGAAGGAUGAAGGCCUAUGGGUUGUAAACUUCUUUUCUCAGAAAAGAAUUAUGACGGUAUCUGAGGAAUAAGCAUCGGCUAACUCUGUGCCAGCAGCCGCGGUAAGACAGAGGAUGCAAGCGUUAUCCGGAAUGAUUGGGCGUAAAGCGUCUGUAGGUUGUUUAAAAAGUAUUCUGUCAAAGAUUAGGGCUUAACCCUAGAUAGGCAGAAUAAACUUUUAAGCUAGAGUUUGGUAGAGGCAGAGGGAAUUCCCGGUGGAGCGGUGAAAUGCGUAGAUAUCGGGAGGAACACCAAAGGCGAAGGCACUCUGCUGGGCCAAUACUAACACUGAGAGACGAAAGCGAGGGGAGCAAAUGGGAUUAGAUACCCUGUAGUCC